This 1259-nucleotide unclassified non-coding RNA is filed under the name Centruroides sculpturatus (bark scorpion). RNAcentral describes it as "uncharacterized LOC111620412, transcript variant X1". The record is from RNAcentral. Lineage: Eukaryota; Metazoa; Arthropoda; Arachnida; Scorpiones; Buthidae.
AGAUUCUGAAAUUAUAAUAAAAAAAGAAUCCAAAAUUCUUCAUUAAAUUCCCGUUUUUUUAACGCGUAACAAACGAAUUCAACAAUUGAUGUUGUUGUUGUUGUUGCGUAGUUUUGCUCUUGGACGAAGAGUGCGAUUUGGAAAGCGAUUCGAAGAUGUUUUUUGAUGGUAGAGAGUAUCGACCCCUGCCCCAUCCUCAUGGGGAGGGAUUGGAUGUGGAUGUGCGAAGAUUCGUCAGUCCACAAAAUUUGGAUUAUGUUAAGUUUCGAGGCAGAAAGUUGAAGAAAGGCCUCUCGAAGCAGUACGAACCCUCGCCCGGUGCUUUCGAAGGUUUGGACGUUUUUGAAAAUAACAUCAAGCCUGCUUAUAGAAAAGCUGUGAUGAAGGUUCGACCAAUCUGUCAAACGGCCUGCCAACGUUUUAACAGUUUGAGAUUGGUCGAAGAUGUGGAAGAUGAAGGAGUGAACAAUAGAGAGAGCGUGAUUCCUCCACGAAGCACCAAAGAGAACGAAGACCCGACAAAGCACGAAGAUUGCGUGCAAGAUAAUCCUGGCCAUUACAGGGAUAGAAAUACAUUGAAGAAAGUCGGGUCGUUCUUUAAGAGCAUGUGGAAACCCGUUAAGAGAUCCGUGCAGAAGGUGUGUAAAAUGGCCAGAAGUGGAGAAUGCGAGUACGUUCGGUUCGAGUAAGGAUCUCUUUGCUUCCAUCUGUCAAAUUCGACAAUAAGAUCUGCUCUGUGAUUUGCUGGAUCUGGGCCGAGUUGGCUAAUUAUAUGGUUUUUUCUGCAAACCAUCGAUGACUUCUCCUGAUUUUGACAUCCCGAUUGCGUCAAUGCCAAGUUCGAUUAUGACUUCCCAAUUUUGACUUUAUCCCGGCUGUGUCUCCUUAUUAUUGUCUUUUAGUCAAUUAUCAUUUACCCGAAUUGGUCUACACGAAUUUGGACUCUCGAUUUAUGUCUACUUCACGAAUCUGGACUCUCCCGAAUUACGUCUACCCCGAAUUUGACUCCUCAAUUGUGCCUGUACUCGAAUUGGACUCUCCCGAAUUAUGUCAACCCCGGAUUUGACUCAUGAAUGGUGUCUGCACUCGAAUAUGGACUCUCCCGAAUUACGUCUAUCUCGAAUUUGACUUCAGAAUCCUGUCUAUAUUGGAAUUUGGACUCUUCCGGCUUGUGUCUGUGCUCAAAUUUGACUCCCAAUUUUUGUCAUCCCUGGAACUUGGACUCUCCGGAAUUGUGUUUUAAUUUGUUAUUGGAACGA